UAGCAAAACAGCUUUUGAGAAAGGGUGUCUUGCUUUUCACAACUAUUCACAUGGGAAAUCUCAGUCCUUUUCUUUUUCGGGACAUUUUUACACCUAUCUGUGAUGAUAUCUUAUGACCAUAAGGAGUGCUAAGCUGAGUCACAAAACCACCAUGCCGAGGACAGCACAACAAAGAAAAGAAUCUUGGGAACUUAAUGGUUUUAACCAGUCACUGGGUUAACAAUUCCUGGAACAAUCCCACCUCGAGACUUCAGUUACCUGUUCUGCUGACGUCAGGCCCAGCACCAGGUGCAGAAGCUACCAUCAUACAACAAUCAAGCUUCCUUGAUUAUGCUCUGUGCCAGGCAUAUACUGUGCAGGCACUGUCAAAACUGGAUGUCACUGCGGCUAAACUCAUUUCCUGUGUAAGUCAGUCCUGAAUUUCCAUCCCUUUUCACUUGAUGUUUACCUUUCCUGGGAUUGUCUUAAAGUAACCUCCCAUUCAUCUUUCAGAGAAAAUAAAAUAAUCCCAUUUAUCAAUUAUUAAAUAGCAACCAAUACUGCUGGCCAUUGUUUCCCUUCCUG
This 564-nucleotide long non-coding RNA is filed under the name Callithrix jacchus (white-tufted-ear marmoset). RNAcentral describes it as "lncRNA (ENSCJAG00000080030.1)". Lineage: Eukaryota; Metazoa; Chordata; Mammalia; Primates; Cebidae. The record is from RNAcentral.